AGAUACCCAAUUAGCAAUUAAGCUUGCCUUUGAGUGCAGGCCUCCAAUGCGGUGUGUGAUCCUGGUCUGAUUUGCAUGCCGCUUGUGCACGCGCUGAUAAGCGCAGGCAGCAGCCAUACAUAGUUUUAAAAUUCAACUCCAGAAUCCCUCGCAGAAGGCAAAGGGGCCUGCGGGGCACGAGAGAGAGAGAAAUCACAUGGCUGCUCUUCAAAAGGGGACCUGUGUAAGGCAGCCGGCAAAGUGCGUGGGAUCACACUCAGAAUGCAGACCCUGAAUGCCAUGGCAGCUACAACAGGCAAGCUUGAGUUGGUUGCACCAGAUUUCGUUGGACAAAUUAUCCAGAUUGGUUGCAGAUUGUGUGUGUUGACAGCAUCAGACAGGGAGAGAGAGAGAGAGAGUGUCGCAUGCCUUCCUGUUCCUGUACCACCCUCCAACCCCAGAGCCGCAGACUCAAGGCAGUUUCCAGAAUCAAACAAUUUCACGCAGCUACUGGAGGAGGAAAUGAACUGAGCCCAGAGCAAUAAUAAAAUUAUACAAAUGUUA
Labrus bergylta (ballan wrasse) is the source of this 543-nucleotide non-coding RNA. The record is from RefSeq and is a predicted model, not a curated record. Lineage: Eukaryota; Metazoa; Chordata; Actinopteri; Labriformes; Labridae.